Molecule: ribosomal RNA, 591 nt
Filed under: uncultured fungus
Lineage: Eukaryota; Fungi
Description: eukaryotic LSU rRNA
Rfam family: Eukaryotic large subunit ribosomal RNA
Source: RNAcentral
AGCAUAUCAAUAAGCGGAGGAAAAGAAACCAACAGGGAUUGCCCUAGUAACGGCGAGUGAAGCGUCAACAGCUCAAAUUUGAAAUCUGGCAACAGCCCGAGUUGUAAUUUGUAGAGGAAGCUUCUGGUGAUGCACUGUCUAAGUCCCCUGGAACGGGGCGCCACAGCGGGUGAGAGCCCCAUGUGAUGGCUGCUGACCCAGUGUGAAGCUCCUUCGACGAGUCGAGUAGUUUGGGAAUGCUGCUCAAAAUGGGAGGUAAAUUCCUUCUAAAGCUAAAUAUUGGCUAGAGACCGAUAGCGCACAAGUAGAGUGAUCGAAAGAUGAAAAGCACUUUGAAAAGAGGGUUAAACAGCACGUGAAAUUGUUGAAAGGGAAGCGCUCAUGACCAGACUUGCGCUGGGCUGAUCAUCCGGUGUUCUCACCGGUGCACUCUGCCCGGCACAGGCCAGCAUCGGUUUUGGCGGGGGGAUAAAGGCGCUGGAAACGUAGCUCCCCCGGGAGUGUUAUAGCCUAGCGUGCAAUACCCCCGCUGGGACCGAGGUCCGCGCAUUCGCAAGGAUGCUGGCGUAAUGGUCAUCAGCGACCCGUCUG